UUCCAGUUUUAUUCCGGCUUCACUUCCACACCAUCAAUGAAAGCCUUUCCACCCACGAAGUAGGCUCUGCGCCCUCUCUCCCUGGCGUCUCUCACCCGGGGCCACAGCUGUCUGCGCGCCGCCGCGUCCAGCGCGCUCAGGUCCUCCGCGAACCGUAGCCGCUCAGACAGGAGAAACUCGCAGUUCUUCGCUCGCCUCCACAGCACAUCGCGUGUAGAUCUGCUGAUGAACUGAAUAAUCGUGGUUCUCGGGUUUUUGCCCUGCUCCUUCCGCCCCAGCCUGUGGACAAUGUCUACCUCUGUCUUAAAUCGCUCCUUAAGUUCAGGAACCACAGCCCCGCAGAUAUUGAUCACUGUGUCUUUAAUGUCCUCCUCUGACUUCUCGGGAAUGCCGUGUAGCCUCAGGUUCCAUCUCCGGCGAUACCUCUCCGCCUCGUUCAGCUUCUGCUCCAACUCAGAAGCACCACGAUGUUAUUCUGCAUUUCCAACAGAGACGGCUCGUCUUUCAUCCUCUUCAUGAGGGGCUUUUCCGGAGUGUAGGGCUCAAUGUCGCAGUCGGAGUCCAGCAGCUGCUCCAGCUGCGGCUCUCCGGAGCUCCUCUCGCUGUCGAGGGCGUACGAGUGCUCGGCCUCGAGGGGCGCUCCGCCGCUCGCCCCUGCUGCAGGGCGCACCUGCCCUCCUGAAGGCCGCGGCAUUUUCGAAACCUCCUUCUCCUUUCGCUUCUUUCCACCAGUACUUUUUUCAGAGAUCGAAUCCAUCCUAAUAUAACGGUUUUUUUUUUCAGUAGUUCAAUUCAGAGGAAGGAAAAAAUCGCAUCCAAGUUUUAACUUUUUUUUUGGUUGGAAAUAAAUUUAAAACUCUCCAAAAAUUGACAAAGUUAGACAAAAAUCAUAGACAUUCAAAUCAAAGCAAAUUUUCUCCUUUCACCAACAGUUUAAGGGAAAAAAGACCCCAAUUUUUUAGCGCUUAACAAAACACGUGCGAACUGGUCGCCAUCUUGCCGACCCCCCUUAUGCACGCAAGACUACGUUACAGAUCACCGGAGUACAUUAUACAGGCAAAUAAAGAUAAGGUACGCACAGCUUUCAUGUUGUGAUACUUAAACAUGGUUUGGAGACGUUCCCUCGUGUGUAUUUUGAAU
This 1140-nucleotide long non-coding RNA is filed under the name Lepisosteus oculatus (spotted gar). RNAcentral describes it as "lncRNA (ENSLOCG00000022324.1)". Lineage: Eukaryota; Metazoa; Chordata; Actinopteri; Semionotiformes; Lepisosteidae. The record is from RNAcentral.